This is a long non-coding RNA of Lagenorhynchus albirostris (white-beaked dolphin), 649 nucleotides long. RefSeq lists it as uncharacterized. The transcript is spliced from 4 exons. The record is from RefSeq and is a predicted model, not a curated record. Lineage: Eukaryota; Metazoa; Chordata; Mammalia; Artiodactyla; Delphinidae.
AUUAUAGCAGUGAGCAUCAGCUUGUUAAGUCCAAACUUAUCUUCCCUGAUGCCAAUCUCCUUCCUGCUGUUUUUAUCAAGAAUAAACAUACGGAUACCAUGGAAUCUAAGAUAGAAACAGUUGACCAAGAGCCCAAUUAUGCUUAUAGAGACUCUUAAGAACAGAAAGAUGAUAUUGCUCCAGACCCAAAUUUUGAAUCAAGUUUCAGUGUCUAUCAUGGUGCCUUCCAUAUGAUGGGAGCGAGAUAAACAUUGGCUGCAUGAAGGAAUCACCGUCACUCACUGGAUGCCCCUCGUGGCGAGCCUCACUGAGGUCUAAUGCAGCCUCCUGAACAUGCUAAGGCUUUACCUUCUUCCCCAAGACUCUUCCUUCUGCUGUUCAAGUAUUCAAGAUAAAUGAGGUCAGCUGUAGACAAUAACGUCAGCCUUCACAGACUACAGGUCCCAGCGCCCAAAGUCUCCUCCUUUUACCUGCUAACUAUUAACUGAGGAUGCACAGCACAAUCUUCAGAGGGUGGCGUACGGACAGCUCCAAUUUUUCAGAGCUCCACUUCAACAGCAAGCCUCUAUCUGAACGUCCAGACUCCCUCCUGAUAUCUGUCCUAUUGUCUGUCCUCCCUCCACCAAGAAUAAAGCCAUCUACCUUGUGA